GACGAACGCUGGCGGCGUGCCUAACACAUGCAAGUCGAGCGGAGACAUUUGGCUUCGGUUAAUGUUUUAGCGGCGGACGGGUGAGUAACGCGUGAGCAACCUUUCUCUCAGUGGGGAAUAACACAGGGAAACUUGUACUAAUACCGCAUGAGACCACGACCUGGCAUCAGGAUGGGGUCAAAGAUUAAUCGCUGAGAGGUGGGCUCGCGUCUGGAUUAGAUAGUUGGUGGGGUAACGGCCUACCAAGGCGACGAUCAGUAGCCGGUCUGAGAGGAUGAACGGCCACAUUGGGACUGAGAUACGGCCCAGACUCCUACGGGAGGCAGCAGUGGGGGAUACUUGCACAAUGGGGGGAAACCCUGAUGCAGCAACGCCGCGUGAGUGAAGAAGUAUUUCGGAUGUAAAAGCUCUAUCAGCA
This 418-nucleotide ribosomal RNA is filed under the name uncultured bacterium. RNAcentral describes it as "bacterial SSU rRNA". It matches the Rfam family "Bacterial small subunit ribosomal RNA", at positions 28 to 441 of the family's 1533-position model. The record is from RNAcentral.